RNAcentral lists this ribosomal RNA (451 nucleotides) under Salmonella enterica subsp. enterica serovar Tamberma. RNAcentral's name for it is "bacterial SSU rRNA". It matches the Rfam family "Bacterial small subunit ribosomal RNA", at positions 1 to 432 of the family's 1533-position model. Lineage: Bacteria; Pseudomonadati; Pseudomonadota; Gammaproteobacteria; Enterobacterales; Enterobacteriaceae. The record is from RNAcentral.
UUGGAGAGUUUGAUCCUGGCUCAGGACGAACGCUGGCGGCGUGCUUAACACAUGCAAGUCGAACGAAGAGCGAUGGAAGCUUGCUUCUAUCAAUCUUAGUGGCGAACGGGUGAGUAACGCGUAAUCAACCUGCCCUUCAGAGGGGGACAACAGUUGGAAACGACUGCUAAUACCGCAUACGAUCCAACCUCGGCAUCGAGGAUGGAUGAAAGGUGGCCUCUAUUUAUAAGCUAUCACUGAAGGAGGGGAUUGCGUCUGAUUAGCUAGUUGGAGGGGUAACGGCCCACCAAGGCAAUGAUCAGUAGCCGGUCUGAGAGGAUGAACGGCCACAUUGGGACUGAGACACGGCCCAGACUCCUACGGGGGGCAGCAGUGGGGAAUCUUCCGCAAUGGACGAAAGUCUGACGGAGCAACGCCGCGUGAGUGAUGACGGCCUUCGGGUUGUAAAGCU